Molecule: non-coding RNA, 983 nt
Organism: Zonotrichia albicollis (white-throated sparrow)
Lineage: Eukaryota; Metazoa; Chordata; Aves; Passeriformes; Passerellidae
Source: RefSeq, a predicted model, not a curated record
GGCAGAAGAUGCAAGCGCAGGUUUUAAAGAAGCAGCAGUGAUGAGCAUGCAGCAGUCUACACCAAAAUCCCUUCUAACUGCACAAGACAGACACUGCUAUUUAUAUGAUGCAGAAAGCCAGGAGACUCUAUCCACGGAUGCAACUUCUGAUCUCUAAAUGCUCAACUUGUCAGUGCCCUGCUCUGCAGUGGCAUGGGGAAAGGCAGUGCUUAUUCCAAAGUGUGAAGAGAGAUCCACUUUCCAGGAGAAUUUGCAGCAGGACAUAGGGCAGCUGGGCAUAGAUCUACCUGCACACAGAGAAAUGAAGCCCCAUUAAUCUGGUUCUCCUUAAGCUCUGGGUCCUUUUUAUACCAAUUCAUAAUGAGGACUCUUUUCUGUGAAGGCUUCCAAUAUGACACAUUUCAUGUCACUAACCCACCUGAAUGGACGCAGUAUAGUAUCUCUUUAAUUUGUGGUUCGUUUGCACAGAAGAACACAAUUUUUGUGAAUAAAGCAACCAGUGCAAGUAAGAUUUGUUAUGCAGUUAUAAAAGAUGUAUAAGGUAAAUAAUGUAGGCAAUGUAGAUAAAACUAAUGUAGGCAAAUGGAGGGAAGAAAACAACAAAUACCAGUUACAAACUUCUAACAGACCACUGUAGUUUGAUAUAUAAAUGCAAAUAAAUAGAAAUUAAUUUCUAUUUCACUCGCCUAUCAGUUCUGUUAGCUGCCAUUUCAUUGCUUGUAUUAUGGCUCUGCUACAAUAUAUGGGGUCUUCAAGGAGAGUGUAAUAUAGUAUUAUAAUAUUUCAGUGUUUUAUAAUGAUAAUAUACUGAAUUAAAAAGUGAACUUAAAGCAAUCUAUUUUAGUUAUCCAAUCUGCAGUUUUCAGUUCUGAGUCUUUAGAAUUCCCGAUCUAACUGUAUGUGCUGCCGACCAAUCCCACUAAUGUCCCUCACACCUUUGUUUUCAAAGUAGGCAUAUGUUUUUAAAAAAGUUAUAAGAUUAC